RNAcentral lists this ribosomal RNA (718 nucleotides) under Megalobenedenia derzhavini. Its description in RNAcentral is "12S ribosomal RNA". The record is from RNAcentral. Lineage: Eukaryota; Metazoa; Platyhelminthes; Monogenea; Capsalidea; Capsalidae.
UUAGUUUAAUUAUGGCUAUAAGAAGCAUGUUUUAAAAAAUCACAUAGUUUAAUAUUUUUGAUAUAAUUAUUUAAAUAUAUAAUAGUUAUUACUAGUGAUGAGUAUUUUAUUUAAUAGGAAACUAUGUUAAAAUUUUAAAACUUAGUAGUGGAUAAGACACAGUGCCAGCAUCCGCGGUUAUUCUGUUGCUACAGCUUUUUGAAUAAAUUUUUAUUUUAAUUUUAUUUAUGUUUUGAAGGGUUAAAUCUUUUAAAAAAAGUAUAAUAUUAUUAAUUAAAUUUUUUAUUAAUAUAAAAUAGAAACAAGAAUUAGAUACUCUUUUAUUAUAUAUUAUAAUAUAUUUUUAGUAAAAACUAAAAUAAUUUGGCAGCUAAUUAAUCUUUUCUGGGGAUGGUGUGUUUUAAAAGAUGAUCCGCUUAUAAAAUAACCCUAUUUAUUUAGUUGGUGUACGUCCGGUUAUAAACUAAUAAUAAAAAUUAACUAUUAGUGAAUACUAUUUGUUUAAGCUAGGUCAAUGUGCUACUGAUAUUAGGGUUUGCAUUCCAUACAGUAAAAAACUAUUUAUGUAAAAAAUAAAUUAAGGACUAGUAAGUAAAUUAAAUUAAAUUGUUUAAUUGAAAUAAGUUUAAUUAGGGUACAUACCGCCCGUCAAUCUCGGCGUAAGCUGAGAUAAGUCGUAACAUGGUAACCCUAAAGGAAUUUGGGGUUAGUAAAUUAU